This 425-nucleotide ribosomal RNA is filed under the name uncultured bacterium. Its description in RNAcentral is "partial 16S ribosomal RNA". It matches the Rfam family "Bacterial small subunit ribosomal RNA", at positions 354 to 796 of the family's 1533-position model. The record is from RNAcentral.
GUGGGGAAUCUUGCGCAAUGGGCGAAAGCCUGACGCAGCCAUGCCGCGUGAAUGAUGAAGGUCUUAGGAUUGUAAAAUUCUUUCACCGGGGACGAUAAUGACGGUACCCGGAGAAGAAGCCCCGGCUAACUUCGUGCCAGCAGCCGCGGUAAUACGAAGGGGGCUAGCGUUGCUCGGAAUUACUGGGCGUCAAGGGCGCGUAGGCGGACAGUUUAGUCAGAGGUGAAAGCCCAGGGCUCAACCUUGGAAUUGCCUUUGAUACUGGCUGUCUUGAGUACGGGAGAGGUGAGUGGAACUCCGAGUGUAGAGGUGAAAUUCGUAGAUAUUCGGAAGAACACCAGUGGCGAAGGCGACUCACUGGCCCGUUACUGACGCUGAGGCGCGAAAGCGUGGGGAGCAAACAGGAUUAGAUACCCCUGUAGUCC